UAACUCCUGCGGUGUGCGUGUUAUCGGAAAUGCCUUGAGCCAACGUUCUUAUCCCGCGGAGGGCCGCUCCAGACCGGCGGAAGCGACGAAAGUUGCGCAAGCUAAGGACUGGGGGCACUCCAUUCCUUUUAGGAGCGGGUCAAGGCACUCCAUCCACGGCAUUGCGGGGUUUAU
This 174-nucleotide non-coding RNA is filed under the name Synergistaceae bacterium. RNAcentral describes it as "6S RNA". It matches the Rfam family "6S / SsrS RNA". From Rfam's summary of the family: E. coli 6S RNA was the first non coding RNA to be sequenced, but its function was unknown until recently. Lineage: Bacteria; Thermotogati; Synergistota; Synergistia; Synergistales; Synergistaceae. The record is from RNAcentral.